CCUACGGGGGGCAGCAGUAGGGAAUAUUGCUCAAUGGGGGAAACCCUGAAGCAGCAACGCCGCGUGGAGGAUGAAGGUUUUCGGAUUGUAAACUCCUUUUGUUAGAGAAGAUAAUGACGGUAUCUAACGAAUAAGCACCGGCUAACUCCGUGACAGCAGCCGCGGUAAUACGGAGGGUGCAAGCGUUACUCGGAAUCACUGGGCGUAAAGAGCGCGUAGGCGGGAUAGCAAGUCAGAUGUGAAAUCCUAUGGCUUAACCAUAGAACUGCAUUUGAAACUGUUAUUCUAGAGUAUGGGAGAGGUAGGUGGAAUUCUUGGUGUAGGGGUAAAAUGCGUAGAGAUCAAGAGGAAUACUCAUUGCGAAGGCGACCUGCUAGACCAUAACUGACGCUGAUGCGCGAAAGCGUGGGGAGCAAACAGGAUUAGAUACCCCAGUAGUC
Molecule: ribosomal RNA, 440 nt
Filed under: uncultured bacterium
Lineage: Bacteria
Description: partial 16S ribosomal RNA
Rfam family: Bacterial small subunit ribosomal RNA
Source: RNAcentral